Molecule: long non-coding RNA, 4635 nt
Filed under: Gallus gallus (chicken)
Lineage: Eukaryota; Metazoa; Chordata; Aves; Galliformes; Phasianidae
Source: RNAcentral
GCCUCUGCCCUUCACAAUGACUUUCUUCAAGCACUUGCAUUUGAAUGUUGCUUUCCCCUUUCUGGAUGAUUAUCUGUCCUCUGCUGUAAGGAGAUGAAGACAUAUACCAUUCUGAACCACAUUUGAGGGUGUUUCCAACUAAGCUUGGUGAGGGAUGAAGCUAUAAGGACUCAUUGCCAAGAAAUGCUAGUGGAUACACACCUUCACCCCUCUUGCAGAGAACUAUUGAUGGGCUCACGUGGCUGAGAUAUUUAUGAAGAAACUUCUUGUACAAGGUUAAAGCACACACACUGGGAAAGGAAAGCAGCUGCCUUCUAAGCUGUACUCCAAUGAGUUUAUGGAGACGUCGUGGCAGUUGAAUUUAUACGAGCUGAACAGCUUCAAAAGAAAUGCUGAGUAGUCCUUACUGCUGCACAACUGAUGGCCAAGUCCAGGGAGGACAUUCAGAGGGAGGAACCCAGCCCUUCCCAAACCAGGUCACAGGAUUCAGCCUCAGCCUGCCUCUUCCCAGCUCAGCAAUGCAAUUAAUGACCUUCUGGGUGGGAAGGACACAAGGGACUGUGUUCUGCAUGAGGUCCAUAACAUCCAUCACAUUGGGUCCUUCAGGAAUGACAGCUGGGAAACAUCAUCAGCUGUGAUUCAGGCUCAUCUGCUCAGCCAACAAAGCAGCCAGUAACUCCAGGGUUUGAAGACAUCUGAUUUGAGGUUUUGAGGACAUUCCUUUAAGCAUUUGAUCCAAAACCACAGCUACAGAGCUUGGAAUACUCUAGUAAGUCUAGCACAUAACAUUUAAACAAUAUAAAACCUUUGCUGUGAUGCAAACAUUAUAUGACAAAAAAAAAACAGUAUAACAAAAGCUGCUUUUAGAACGUCUAACUGGGUUAAAUUCCAUUAUUAUCUUAAGUAAGGCUAAAAACUAUAGGCGUAUAUUUUCCACAAUCUGCUAAUUGUUAAUUAAUAUCCAAGAUAACAAAAGAAACCCACUAUAUCACUCAGAUUUAAUGAUCUUGUGCUGGAAAAUGUUCCGAAUUGCCCUUCUUUGAAAUACUCAGCUCACCAGAAACUUCCCCAUAAGUCUUUUAGUUUCUUCUCCACUGAAGGGUGCUCUGAAAUCUUCACCUUUUCCUUUCAGGUGUUUAUACAGAAGAUGACCACUGAUAGCAUGAACAACUUUUACUGUUCCUUGAGCUUGGAGUUCAUAAUGCUGUUUGGACAUUAUAAGCCCUUAAGUACUGUAACAAAGUGAACGUUCAGCUCCAGGAAUUUCAAAUCCAGGCGAAGUGAACUUGCUGAUUAACUCUGUGAAUGAAUUUCGUGGUUUAGUAGAGGCUCUGAUGACAGCAAAUGAAAAUCUGUCUUAAACUGUAGUAAAACCUGCAGGAAAUACAAGGCACCUGCUGAGAAAUCAGCUUUCUCUUUAGCUAUUACGUUUAAUCUCUUUGACUCUUGUCUAGUUCUUCUAGGUUAGUGGGAACAUAGGUAUGGAUUUUACAGUGCUGUCAUCACCAGUGAAAUGCUCAUAUUAAUCUAGAUUUGUAUGCUAUAUGGCUGUUGGCAAUGAGGACAGUUAACAUUCCAGUAUCAAUUUCCCUUCAAGGAUACUGAAGAGCGUUGGAAACAUUAAGCUUUGAGGCUAGUAAUUUACUAAUGAGAACACUGAUUCAAAGAGAAAUUAGAACCUUAAUCUCUCACCCAGUGAAGCCAAUAGAAAUCAUUUUGUGAUUUCCUUGGGCAGACUCUGUGUAGUUUGUAAAAGGUCACAGAAGAAAUCACAGAAAAAUUAGACUGAGGUCCAAUAACUUUGUGCUUGCCCAGUAGGAGAGUAGCUGCCCCUUGUGCUACGCCUGUACCCUUUAGAUCCAAAUCCCUUUUCCUUAGUGCAGUUGAAAAAUAUUCCAAUAAACCUUGAUUUGCUGGGACCUCAUUCCCGCGUCACCACCAGCUGUGUGCUGUAGCAGAGGAGAUGUGGAACAAUAAUAUAACAGCUUUGGAGCUCUGUUAUUUUUCAUUCAGGCUGAACACCACAGGUGUCCUUCCUGGCACCCUGUGGUGGAGGCUGAUUCUCUAAGCAGAUUUUGGAAGCAAAGAUCUCUUGGACAAGUUUCCUACAGAAGCAUAAAGCCGCUCCCACCAAACUGAAGAACCAAAACCUUGCCACUGUGUUUACGUGCUCACAGUGACAUGAAGUCCUUUAGUACAACUCAAGGCCAUGCCCAACUUCAUAGAAAUGAAGUUUCCAAAUUCUUUGAAGCAGUUAAACUUUGACGAAAAGCUGUACUGCACUGCUGAGACCUUUCAUUGAACUAAAGCAUCCGGUUUUCAGAGUGACAGGGUGACAUUGAGGAAAUCACAAUUAAGUUCUUCAAACGUGUUAUUUUAUAGGUAGUAUCCUCCAAGGCCUGAUCCAAAGUGCUCUGUACUCAGUAGGAACCAUUCCACCUCAGGGCUCACUCAAUGUUUUCCAGCAUGCUCUGUCUCUGGUAAUAUUUCAAGCAGUUUAUUACAGAAUUGCAUAAUGCAAUAUGCAUUGCUCGUGUGGGUAGAAACCUUUAUAUCAACAGUCUAGAUAAAUGCCAGCACUGCUAUCAUAAUACACUUCAAUAGAGGUAAGAAAUAUAGUGAUGUGUUUACAAAUUUGAUCCAUUCAGAGCCCUGGGCUGUAGUAACUUAUAUAUAGGAGCAUUUAUGUAGAAAACCACUGGAGCAUAUGCAUGAUUAUUUAUCAAGAUGCUCUAUGUAUGGUGUUGGUAUUAUGCAUUAUGCUUGAUAUAACAGGAAUAAACACUUCAUGAAAGAACACAAAGGACACCAGAAAGGUAUAUCACAAACAUAUUUUUAUAAUGAACCCACAGAGUAUUUAUGCUGUAGAUUCCACAUAAAGUGUGUGUGAGCUAGCCAAGUACAGCCCUCCCAAAACCAGGUAAGCAGUACAGUUUUAUAAUGAUGAUAUAACUGAAAGAGCCUUCAUUGACUUUAAGUACAAACCUUAUGCUUUCUAAUGUUCCUUCAACUUCCUUGUCACGUAAAGGUCAGUCCACAGCACAGUAGAAGGAAUGGAUGUAUAUCUACGAUACGCACAGCAGAUUUAAGCAUUUGUACUCAUUUGGGUUUAGCCAACUAUGCUGUGCAGUGAGUGGCAAAUGUAUUAUUCUGUUGUGCCAUAUAAAGUAUUAUUCCAGGUGUUUGAAAUAAUGCAUACAGUUAAAGGUUAUGGCAGAAUAACAUUAAAGAAAUUCACUGUUUCUUGGCCUGAUGGUAGUAUGGAUGAUAAAAAGGAGAUGGUUAUUACAGCCUUGAAGCAUUACAGUUAUUUUGCUAUGAUAAUAGUCCUCAGAUUUUGUUAUAGCCCUAGUAUGUUACCUGAAAGUUAAAAUGCAAUUUACAGGUCUGUGAUCUCUUAUUGUCUAGAAUGUAAUUUCUAAAAGAAAAUGAGUGGUGAUCUUGAGGAUAAAUCCUGGUUUCUUUAAACUUGUUUUUUCUUUUCUUUUUUUUUUUUUGUAAGAGGAGGUUUAUUCCUCAGAGAAUGAAUCAAUCCAGGAUUGUCACUUCUAGAUUGAAAUACGCCAAGAUGAAUAUCUCUUCCACUUCAUACUGUUAUCACUCUUUGUUACCAACUUAUUAUGGACUACAGGUAGCAAGUGCUUCUGGACUUACAGCAAUACACCAAAGGUGUCAGAUGGCCAGGAGCUUCCAACCAGACCCUGCAUGAUUUGAGUGGCCCAAUGGAUUGUUUUGGUUCUACUUGUGAGCUAUUUUGAAAUAUUACAGUGUCCAUUACCGCAGUAUUAGCACUUCACUGUCCUUAAUGCUGUUUAAUCCAUCAGUUUUAGAGUCCCAAACCAAGGACUCCCUGCCAGCAGUCACCGCUACCGAUGCAGUGCACACUGUCAGAUUGCAACCUUGGCCAUAACAAGGUCAUGUAAUAAAGCACAUGACAGAGGAAAGACUGUAAUAAUAAUUAUUUCCAUUGUGUAUAAUAAAUAAUAUAAUAAAGCUUAGUUGUAAGCAUUAGAAGAGCCGUGAAAGUCAAGGCAGAUCUUUUGUGUUUGAUUCUCUCCUUCUGUGUACAGAAAUAAGAAAAAAAAAAAGGAAAAGAAUUGGUAGAAUGUUCCAGCUAAAGCAGAGCUGGUUCCAGAGAAGCUGAGAAAGAAAUGAGAUGGUGUCUCAACUAUGGCAAUGCAGAAUAGAAACUUAAUAUUUGUUCUGCAGUUUGUGUUCUGCGUUACUUUACUUUAAGGGACUGGGAAGUGUUUGAUUGAAAAAGGACUCCUUUCCCAGGGUGUAUCACUCAUCCAGAUUUCCCUUUGUAACUCGGGGUACUCAAAGUCAUUUCUUCCACCAAAAUCUGUCUGAUAUCUCUGUCUUUCUGGAGCUUCACACAUGACUGGAAAUCAAGCAUUCAAGGCAAAUACUACAGUUAAGUAUUAAACCUGACAGUUUUAUAUGUCUAGUACAAUAAUUGAUUCCAUGUUAUGCUAACCUACUCCACAGGUUAAAGCAGUGAGGGACAGCUCCAUCUCAUACAGGAGUCCCUGAAUUAUUAUUUUUAAGGUAUUUAAAAGCACCGAGGCAAUUCACAUUUCUAUUUUAUAAGCAUUUGUAUGGUUGAAGAAUAGAAUACAGGGAGCACUUGCA